GGAUUAGAUACCCUGGUAGUCCACGCCGUAAACGGUGGGCGCUAGGUGUGGGUUUCCUUCCACGGGAUCCGUGCCGUAGCUAACGCAUUAAGCGCCCCGCCUGGGGAGUACGGCCGCAAGGCUAAAACUCAAAGGAAUUGACGGGGGCCCGCACAAGCGGCGGAGCAUGUGGAUUAAUUCGAUGCAACGCGAAGAACCUUACCUGGGUUUGACAUACACCGGAAAGCCGUGGAGACACGGCCCCCCUUGUGGUCGGUGUACAGGUGGUGCAUGGCUGUCGUCAGCUCGUGCCG
Molecule: ribosomal RNA, 293 nt
Filed under: uncultured bacterium
Lineage: Bacteria
Description: partial 16S ribosomal RNA
Rfam family: Bacterial small subunit ribosomal RNA
Source: RNAcentral